GUUAAAACUUUCAACAACGGAUCUCUUGGUUCUGGCAUCGAUGAAGAACGCAGCGAAAUGCGAUAAGUAAUGUGAAUUGCAGAAUUUAGUGAAUCAUCGAAUCUUUGAACGCACAUUGCGCCCUAUGGUAUUCCGUAGGGCAUGCCUGUUCGAGCGUCAUUGCAA
Molecule: ribosomal RNA, 165 nt
Filed under: Chlorociboria aeruginascens
Lineage: Eukaryota; Fungi; Ascomycota; Leotiomycetes; Helotiales; Chlorociboriaceae
Description: 5.8S ribosomal RNA
Rfam family: 5.8S ribosomal RNA
About the family: 5.8S ribosomal RNA (5.8S rRNA) is a component of the large subunit of the eukaryotic ribosome. It is transcribed by RNA polymerase I as part of the 45S precursor that also contains 18S and 28S rRNA.
Source: RNAcentral